This 403-nucleotide long non-coding RNA is filed under the name Phoenix dactylifera (date palm). RNAcentral describes it as "long non-coding RNA (PDAC_LNC002779)". Lineage: Eukaryota; Viridiplantae; Streptophyta; Magnoliopsida; Arecales; Arecaceae. The record is from RNAcentral.
GCUCCUUUUUUUCCAUAACUGCUUCUGUGUAGAUACCGAGUUUGUGCCAUCAUCAUUUUCCUGUCCAUAAAUGCUGUCAUCAUUCUCGAAGUUGUCAGCGUCCUCAAAAACCUAUGUCAUUGAGCUGCCAACAUCCCCCCUUCCCCGCUUCUUUGAACUGUUGAAUGCCUUACCAGGUAUAUAGUUAGUGCCAUGAGUUUGUUUAAGAACUUCAGUUCCAGUUGGUGGAAUAGGUGCAGAUCGCAACUCUAUGGUACCAUCAAACUGAUUAUUCUGAUGUCGAAAUGGAUGAUUUGCUUCUAACCAUCUUCGAUGACCCAUAUAACAGAAUUUUUCUCCAUGUUUUAACCAAUAUGAAUGAGUUGAAUCUCCACAAGAAGGGCAUGCAAUACGCCCCUUAGUG